RNAcentral lists this long non-coding RNA (1846 nucleotides) under Anas platyrhynchos platyrhynchos (common mallard). RNAcentral's name for it is "lncRNA (ENSAPLG00000025059.1)". The record is from RNAcentral. Lineage: Eukaryota; Metazoa; Chordata; Aves; Anseriformes; Anatidae.
CAGGGUUUUGUCGAGUAUUUUUUAUUAACAGAUAUGAGAGAAUGGAGUCUUUGCUCAAGAGCUAAAGCAUCCAGGCAAAAUCUGAAGGACCUUUGCUGUUGAUGCCUGUAAGAAAUUUUCCACCAGAGACAGCAAAACAACAAAACUGACACAGAUAAUAUUGCUAAAGGUAGAGAGGUGGGAAGGAAACAGAGCCCUGAAAAUAAAGUCUUUCACAAGUCAUUAGACCCCAACCAAGUGGCAAAAGCAUAGAAACCACUUUUUCCCACUUUUCCUUUGUGUCCCAUAUAAUACUAGGUGUAAAACUGACACCUGAACAACAGCAGAUACAUCUGCAUGCCAGUUGAUUAUCACAUGUGUUUUGCCUUUAGUGUGCUAUCAGUGGACCUGCGGUAAUAAAGCAGGAACGACUUAAGCUUUCAUAAACCUACCCUCCAGGCUUUUCUGUUUGCUUUUUCAACUUCUGCUGCCUUUUCACUGAGGUGCAGCACUGCCACUUGUAAUUCCCCCAGGGUAUGCUAGAUAAAUACAUGGCUUAUUUAAGAAGCCUUACCAUUCAUUCAGAGCAGAUGAAAGCUUCCUCCCAGCUGGAAGGUGUUUGUGGCAGCCCAGUGCCCAGCCUCCCUCCCUGCCGUUCAGAGGUUGGCGUGGAUGGGGAGACCAGUGCCUGCUGGCUCUGGUAGGGGUUUCAUGAGGCAUCUGCUGAGAUCCUUGCAUGACAGGUUGGCUGGAUGGAAGACCUGCACCUUGGGUGAAGGUACUUGGAAGAGCAGCUGUGGCUCUGUGCUUUCUCAGACACGGACAGUCCCUCCCCAGGGCUUCCCUCAGCCACCAGCUCCACCAUGAGACAUGGAGGCCAAGAAGACAUUGCCUCUUCUUCACCUGCCACUGCUCUGACUGAAGAAGGACAUUCUUGCUCCAUGCUGAAGGUGUCCAGCUAAUUCCCUGGUCCUGGGGAAGUCGGUGAAGGUCGUGUGGCAUAACCUGGGUACGGCAGUUGUGCUGCCAGGCAUAAGAUUUUUUUGUGGACUGGGUAAUGACAUGGGUCUGUCAACUCCCACACACAAAGUGCAUAGCGGGAGAGGGCACCCACUUGAUUUGCCAGGACAAUUUGGAGGAGGAAUUUCCUAUUUGUGGGAGCUAAUAGCCUUUUCCAGAAGAUGGAGUUUGCAAGGGAGGAGACAGCAAAAUUCCUGACCUAAGGAGACCAAGAGUAUUCGACUCAGAACCAGGGGAAGGUUUGGUAAACUGGCUGUAAAAAUAUCCCUUGUGUAAGCAAGUCUCUGUGUUGAAAUGAAAGUGCUAUCAAAGCCUUUCUGGCUACAUUAUUUUUUCCCCUAUAAAUUAGUACAUUUCUUCCACCUGGAUUUAACAGGAUAAAACUUCCAGCUCCAGUCUUGACUCACUCGUGGCUAGGUGGUGAUUGCAGGUUCCCUGUUAAAUGCCACACACUCAGAGACAUUUCUGUGGAGCUCUGCUGACUUCACACUCCCAGCCCUUUGGCACAGCCUUGAUUUAUUCUGCAGAAGCACGCAGCUGGCUCGCUACCUUUGCACCGAAGCUCAUUCCCCAGAAAUACUGCUGCUCAACCUGGGCUUGACAUCAAGCUUACUACUGGAUUGUGGUGUGUUGGUUUUUUUAAACCUCCUUCCCCCCAUCUUCUCUCUCCCUGUCAGUGACAGUCACCAUCUUGGGGACCUGGCACAAGGGCCGGAGCAGCAUGACGUGCCUGAUGCAGGCAGGAAGCCAGCACAUUUUGUGUAGGUUAACUGUCCUCCUAGGCAGAGCGUGUCCCUCAGCUCAGACAUAUGCCAGCAGCCAGCCAUUCCUCCACUCCUCCUCCACU